UGAACGCUGGCGGUAGGCCUAACACAUGCAAGUCGAACGGCAGCACAGUAAGAGCUUGCUCUUACGGGUGGCGAGUGGCGGACGGGUGAGGAAUACAUCGGAAUCUACUUUUUCGUGGGGGAUAACGUAGGGAAACUUACGCUAAUACCGCAUACGACCUACGGGUGAAAGCAGGGGAUCUUCGGACCUUGCGCGAUUGAAUGAGCCGAUGUCGGAUUAGCUAGUUGGCGGGGUAAAGGCCCACCAAGGCGACGAUCCGUAGCUGGUCUGAGAGGAUGAUCAGCCACACUGGAACUGAGACACGGUCCAGACUCCUACGGGAGGCAGCAGUGGGGAAUAUUGGACAAUGGGCGCAAGCCUGAUCCAGCCAUACCGCGUAGGUGAAGAAGGCCUUCGGGUUGUAAAGCCCUUUUGUUGGGAAAGAAAAGCAGCAGGUUAAUACCCCGCUGUUCUGACGGUACCCAAAGAAUAAGCACCGGCUAACUUCGUG
RNAcentral lists this ribosomal RNA (490 nucleotides) under uncultured bacterium. RNAcentral describes it as "partial 16S ribosomal RNA". It matches the Rfam family "Bacterial small subunit ribosomal RNA", at positions 30 to 507 of the family's 1533-position model. The record is from RNAcentral.